GGAUGAGAGGGUGAUCUAGCUGUGACGUCUGUCACCACAUUGAUCACCAGGGUUGAUUCCACUAAUCUGGCCAGCUAGGGGGGUGUCCCCUUCCUCCCUCGCCUCUGCUCCAUGCGCGUGCCUCCCAAAGCUGCAUGCUUAGUCCAGGAUGAUGAUCUUCCAGAUAGAGGCAUAGCAGUAACUGCGCUCCCCUGCUAGAGCCUCCAAACAAGCUCUCAACGUCCAUUUGUAGGAGAUCACAUGGCAGUCAAGCUUCCACGACUCCAGACACAUCCAAAUGAUGUGCUGCAUGUGGCAGUUUGCCUUUCUAU
Unclassified non-coding RNA from Panthera pardus (leopard), 311 nucleotides. Its record names the gene 7SK. It matches the Rfam family "7SK RNA". From Rfam's summary of the family: 7SK was discovered as an abundant small nuclear RNA in the mid-70s but a possible function has only recently been suggested. Two independent studies have found that 7SK RNA binds the CDK9/cyclin T complex (known as elongation factor P-TEFb). P-TEFb activates transcription by phosphorylating the C-terminal domain of RNA polymerase II. The record is from Ensembl. NCBI's taxonomy places the organism in Eukaryota, Metazoa, Chordata, Mammalia, Carnivora, Felidae.